This 253-nucleotide ribosomal RNA is filed under the name uncultured bacterium. RNAcentral describes it as "partial 16S ribosomal RNA". It matches the Rfam family "Bacterial small subunit ribosomal RNA", at positions 524 to 776 of the family's 1533-position model. The record is from RNAcentral.
UACAGAGGUCUCAAGCGUUGUUCGGAUUCAUUGGGCGUAAAGGGUGCGUAGGUGGCGCCGUAAGUCGGGUGUGAAAUUUCGGAGCUUAACUCCGAAACUGCAUUCGAUACUGCGGUGCUUGAGGACUGGAGAGGAGACUGGAAUUUACGGUGUAGCGGUGAAAUGCGUAGAUAUCGUAAGGAAGACCAGUGGCGAAGGCGGGUCUCUGGACAGUUCCUGACGCUGAGGCACGAAAGCGUGGGGAGCAAACAGG